Mastomys coucha (southern multimammate mouse) is the source of this 832-nucleotide long non-coding RNA. RefSeq lists it as uncharacterized. Lineage: Eukaryota; Metazoa; Chordata; Mammalia; Rodentia; Muridae. The record is from RefSeq and is a predicted model, not a curated record. The transcript is spliced from 6 exons.
CUUAGCUGGAAAGUAAUCUCCACUGAACCUGUUAUAGUUAAGAGAUCCUGUUACUCUCCAGAGGAGGACCUCCAAGCUCCAAGGGCCCUGAGUGGAAAAGCAGAGUGGAAUAUUGCACAUCAACUGGAUAAACUUGUUUCUCAGGUACUGAAGACAGCUGAGACAGCAAGCCUCAUGGACUGAUCAACUACUGGGUUCCUAGACCUUCUGUUGGUAGACAGCCAUUGCUGGACUAACUGCACAACAUCCUGAAGCAUAAUAAGGUUUUAUGAAGAAUUCUCCAGGCUUCCUUGAGACUGGUUUGUUACUGAAGAGGAGCCAUGCUAAGACUUCCCGAUGCUGCUUAUAUUCCUGGUUCCUACCGCUCCCCAACACAUUGACUCCAGCAACUCAUUAUGGAUCAACGACGUCUGAAUAGGUGACCGCCUGCCUGGCAACCUUCCCUCCCGUAGUCUUCUGACCAUCAGUUCUGGAACCCCAGCCCAUGGGAUGCUGCUGCCUGUCUUCAAGAUUGGGUCAAGCAUGCUUGGAACACCCUCACAGACAUAUUCAUAAACCUAUCCCCUGGAUGAGUCCAGCAACAGUCAAGUUGACAGCAAGGAUUAAUACAAGGAGUUCCAGGGUCUCAUUCGCUGUCUUCUCUGCCUGGGAUGUUCUCAUCCAAAACUUUACAUAUGACAAUUUGGGCAUCAGCUAGCUAGCCAGACUAGCAGAAACUAGAAGUUCUGGCUUCAGAAGGAGACCUGCCUCAAUAUGCAAUGGGAAGAGCCAUUGAAGAAUUUACUCAUUUUCCGACUCUGGCCUCUACACACACACACACACACACACACAC